This 253-nucleotide ribosomal RNA is filed under the name uncultured bacterium. RNAcentral describes it as "partial 16S ribosomal RNA". It matches the Rfam family "Bacterial small subunit ribosomal RNA", at positions 524 to 776 of the family's 1533-position model. The record is from RNAcentral.
UACGUAGGGGGCAAGCGUUGUCCGGAAUCAUUGGGCGUAAAGCGCGUGUAGGCGGCCCGAUAAGUCCGCUGUGAAAGUCCAGGGCUCAACCCUGGGAUGCCGGUGGAUACUGUCGGGCUCGAGUCCGGAAGAGGCGAGUGGAAUUCCUGGUGUAGCGGUGAAAUGCGUAGAUAUCUGGAGGAACACCGGUGGCGAAGGCGGCAUCCUGGACCAACACUGACACUGAGGAGCGAAAGCCAGGGGAGCAAACGGG